This 437-nucleotide long non-coding RNA is filed under the name Pan paniscus (pygmy chimpanzee). Its description in RNAcentral is "lncRNA (ENSPPAG00000044190.1)". Lineage: Eukaryota; Metazoa; Chordata; Mammalia; Primates; Hominidae. The record is from RNAcentral.
AUUAGAGGCAAGGAAACAAAUCAUUCAUUCUAGAAACAAACACCAACCACAGAUCAGGUAUUUGGGGGGAAACUGCAAAGGCACCAUCGGUGAAAAUACUAGGAAGUAAAAAUGUGUAGGCAAGAGUGGUGAUGGGAAAGAAAUACAGAGAAAGAAGAAAAAACAAUGACAGAUGAACAAAAUAUUUUUGUUUCAUCAACCAAACAUAUUUUGUUCUCUUGGGACUCCUGAUACCAUACCUCACCUUCUUCUAUUUCUUCUGAUAACCACGGCUCUUCAUAUUCUGCAAUUCACCAUCAGAAAGGGGCAUGCUCUUCUCAUUCAUAGUUCCAUAAUAGACUCUCUCCAGGAAACAAAACAGACAAAUCAAUACACCAAAAUGGUGCAAAUAAUUUUCCUUUGAAUAGCAAGCAAUACACAAAAUGUCUGAAUUCUGA